ACCCUACGGGAGGCAGCAGUGGGGAAUAUUGCACAAUGGGGGGAACCCUGAUGCAGCGACGCCGCGUGAGUGAAGCAGUAUUUCGGUAUGUAAAGCUCUAUCAGCAGGGAAGAAAAUGACGGUACCUGACUAAGAAGCCCCGGCUAACUACGUGCCAGCAGCCGCGGUAAUACGUAGGGGGCAAGCGUUAUCCGGAUUUACUGGGUGUAAAGGGAGCGUAGACGGCAGAGCAAGUCUGAAGUGAAAGCCCGCGGCCCAACUG
Molecule: ribosomal RNA, 262 nt
Filed under: uncultured bacterium
Lineage: Bacteria
Description: partial 16S ribosomal RNA
Rfam family: Bacterial small subunit ribosomal RNA
Source: RNAcentral